Molecule: long non-coding RNA, 4189 nt
Filed under: Malus domestica (apple)
Lineage: Eukaryota; Viridiplantae; Streptophyta; Magnoliopsida; Rosales; Rosaceae
Description: long non-coding RNA (MDOM_LNC016611)
Source: RNAcentral
GGGUGUCGGAGCUGCUAUGGAGUCGAAUCGUGGGCACCCAAAUUAUAAGGUUUCCGGCGGGUUCGAGGUAAAUUGGAGCCUUUCCCGGCCAAAUUGGUCUUGGCCACAGGUAUAAAGUUUGCUCUACUCUUUGAGAUCUUUAUUUUUGUAAUUUUUGAGAAUUUUUAGAAAUAGUUAUAUUUUUCAGCAAGUCAGGGCAGCCGACCGCCACUUACGGUGGCGCGUGGCCAGUGGCCCGAUGUUGCCAUUUUAUGAAAAUUCUAAUAUCAUAAAUAUGAAUUUGAUAUCCAAUUCAUGUGUUUUGAUUAUUUGACCCAAUGUUGGUUAUUUUGGUUAUUUGGUUGUGAUAUGUGAAAUUGAAUGAAAUUGAAGUGUGAACUAUGAUUGGCUUGAUCCCCUCGAUGGGUAUGUAGGCAGUCUAACGAGACGUUAAAUGCAGCCAUAAAAUAUGUGAGGUUAAAUAAAUCCAAGAUUAAAGGUUACUAAAAUGGAAAUUGGUCUAUAAGGGGAAAUGACGUUAAAAUAUGAAGAUAAUGUCAUACAUUUGGUAUGGAAUUAUAAUUAUGGAGCGUUAGUGAAACUUAAGUAGAGAUUGUAAUUAUGGAUAGUUAACUAAACUACAUUAAAUAUUUUGGGCAUACUGACAAAUUUAAUUCCUAAAAAUAAAUAUUUCGGGGUCGGGGUCGGGGUGUUACAAAUGAUAUCAGAGCGAAUGAUCCUACUCUACGAGAUGCACUAUUCUUGAGUUUUGUUGGUCUGAAUUAUGACAUGCAUUGUGGUUGCAUUAAUUCACAUUUUUAGGAAUAAAGUGGCAUUCGUGUUUUAUAUGUGAAAUACAUAUAUAAAUUGUAUUAUGAUUGUGGUGCAAUUUCCUUGGUAAAUAUGAAAGUUUCGUUAAUGGGAAUUGUGAUUUGCAUUUAUAUUGCAUUAUUUCAUAAGUUCUAUGAGUAUGACGGAAAUUAUGUGGAAUACAUAUAUUGUGAGUUAUGAUGCUUUGAAUUGAAUUGAAUGGGAGUAGGAAAAUUUUAAAUAUCGUAUUCAUGGUAUAUCUUUGAGGGUGAGCAUUUGAUUAAAGUUUUGGAUUAAUCUUGAAUUGAAUCGAUAUUAUGUUAUGCACUAUGAAAAUGUUGAAUGUUAAGGUGAUUGUGAGGUGGUGAUAAGUAGAUGGAGAAUUUGUAUUAUAACUCACACUUGAGAAAUUGAAUUGGGCAAAAAGGCCCGUGGAUAUAAGGGUGGAUGUGUGAAUUGGGCAAAAGACCCGUGGAUGUGUGAAUUGGGCAAAAGACCUGUGGAUAUGUGAAUUGGGCAAAAGACCCGUGGAUAUAAGGGUGGAUAUGUGAGAUUGGGCAAGAAAGGCCCGUGAAUGUGAAAUGGGGCGAAAAGCCCAUGGAUGUGAAAUUGGGUGAAAAUGGCCCGUGGAUGUGAAUUCGACGGAAAGGGCCCGUGGAUGUGGAAUUGAAAAAAAGAAGAAGAAGAAGAAGAAAAGAAAACGAAAGUGUGAUGUGUAUUGGCCAUGUAUAUUACAAUCUUUUCCAACCUACUAGUCACUGUUGGAGAUAGAAGAAAAUGGUGGUGGAAUCAUUGUGUUGACAAUGAUAAGUGUGGUUAGAAAAUUAAAAUGUUUGGCAAAUGAUAAUUGUGGUUGGAAAUUUGGUAUUCAUUAAAGUCAUGACAAUUUAUCGAAUGAAAAUAAAAAGUAUAUGUUGUGGUUAUGGAUGAACAUGAAUGAAAAUAUGGAAUGAGAUCUUAAGUUAAUUUAAUAUAAACGUUUUCCAGUGAGUUUUUGUGCUUGAUGAGGAGAAUUGACGAGAAAAGUUUAUAAUUAUAAAAUUGAUUGGUUUGGUUUGCCUUAAUGAAUUAUGGCUUGAAAUUUGAUAUUUGAUUGUGCCAAUAUCGUUUAUGGCCAUAAUUUCUGGUAUUCGUGUUGCCAAAAGUAAUGGGAAGCGGAUUACCAAUAAUUACGAUGUAAAUUUCCAAAUAGCAGGAAUGGAAUUUCGUAUGAAAAUUCAUUGAGUGAGAAUGGAAUCAUAAAUUGAGGUUAUGAUUUGGUUAUUAUAAUUUAAAAUGGUGGAAAGACCAUGAAGUUUUCUUCAUUUAUUGUUGGUGGAUCUAAGUAAAAUUAUGAAACGAAUUUUUGAGUUUGUUUAAUAUGAACGAAUUUUCAGUUGUGUGAGAUGUGAAAUUUUAUGAAUUAUGGAAAUAAUUGAUGGAGAAAGUGUAUAAUUAUAAAUGUGUUGUUUUGGUUGCCAUGGGUCAUUGUUGGAAAUUGAUAUUGCGAACAAAACUGAUGAGAAGCAUAUAUUCUCUUGGCUAUGUGAUUAGUAAGGAUUAAUUCCGUUGACCGUUAGGGUCGUAAAAUGUAAAUUUCUCUUAUGUGGUUGACGAAAUGUAAAUAGUACUCUGGAAGUGCAGCUCUCUAAUUUAUUCGAGCUGUGGUUACAUUUUGAAACAAUUUAAAAGGGAACAAAUUGACAAAAAGAAAAAAGAUAAAGUUUUUUAAUUUACUAAGGAUAAUUUAGUUAAUUGUGGAUAUGCAUGAAAUCCUAGAAUGAGAGUUUGAGUUCGUUUAGUAUUGAUGAUUGACCAGUUGUAUUUUACGUUCAAUGAAAAGAAUGGAUGAGGAAAGCUUGUAAUUACAAAAAUUAUUUCUUGGGUUGCCAUAUUCAAAAGUCGUCGUUGUUGGAUUCGAUAUCACGAACUGAACAAAUGAAGAACACAUGUUCUUAUGGUUAUGCGAUUAAUAAGGUUUAGUUGUGUAGGCCAAUUCAGUUGUGAUAUAUAUAAAUUAUCUUCUUUGGUUAAUAGAAUGUGAAUGGUGCACUAGAAGUGCGAGUCACUAAAUUAUGUAUUUGUGGAUGCACUUAAAAUUAAUUGGAAAGAAAAACGAUAAAAAAAAAGAUUUAAAAGGCUUUAAAUUUACUAUGUGUAACUUAGUUAAUUGUGGACAUAAAGAAAAAUCAUAAAGUGAGAUUUUGAUUUCGUUCCAUGCUAACGGUACUGUGGAUUUGGUUUUAAACUUAUUUCCAUUACCUAGUGAGUGUGAUUGGAAAUUUCCAUGUUUUGGCUGGAAUUCUUGAUAUGUGUUUUGUCAAUUUGAUUGGGUUGGUUUGAAAUUUUGAUAAUUACUUAGCCACUGAUGAUUCUGCCUUGAAAUUCUGAUAAUUAAUUUACAAAAGAUGGGUAUAGCUAGAAUUUAUGAUAACCGUGGUUAUUAUGCUAGUAUGUAUCUAGCCGAUGGUUGAUGUUUUGGUAUCUAUUUAGCCAACGAGAAUUAUGGUUUAGGGUUGAUAUUAUUUUUGCCAAAUGGUUUGGAUAUUUAUUUUGCCAAUGAAUGUAGCUGAGAAUUUGAGAGUGUGAGUGAGAAUCACGGUUAUUAUUCAUUGAAUGCUUAUUUUGGAGCCUAAAUAAAGUCAUAAGACUGAGAUUAUGAUAUCUUUCACUAUUAAAGGAAUGGUGGAAACAAUUCUAAUUCUUUGUCACUAUUCAAUGGUUGAAAUCUCGGGGACGAGAUUUAUUUUAACGGGGGGUGAUUGUAAUACCCUGAAAAUUUAAAUAUAUGAAUUUUAUAUUCAUAAUUGUGAAUAUGUGAAGAAAAUCGAAAUUAAAUCGAUGUACGGUCCCAAAGAUAGAAUUGGGAAAAUCGUAAAGUUUUGUUCCAUGAAUUAUUAUAAUGUACGUAUUCGUGGUGUUGAGAGUUUAUAUUAUUUUUUGGGAAUUUAUAUUAAUUUAUUUGAGUUCAAUUUUAAAUUAAACUGCUUACAAGGUUUAAAGUUUGGAAAUUAACUAUUUAAAAUCUGUAGACUUUUUUAGGUCACCAUUUAUAUUUUUGAAUAGGGCUUGAACUCACGAACGCGUAGGCGCAAACUAUUCGUGAAACAGAGCUAUAACGAAAGAAGUUAUUAAUGUUUAAAGUCAAGGAUAAAUUGGUAAUUUUAACCUUCUUUAGAAGGCUCUAGAAAAUCUGGAGCCAUGUGACAUGCCACAUGUGUGGCUGGGAUUAAAGGAAAAAAAAAUGAGAUGGACGGCUGUGAUGAAAAGAAAGGGUUAGAAAUGAGAGAAAUGAGGGAAAAAUGAGGGGGGAACGGACAAAUGACAGGGAGAGGAAAUAAGAGAAAGGAGGAAAGGGAGAAGGAGGGGAGAAUAUGACCCUCCCUUUUAUCCAAGGUUCUAAAAAACACUAGGCGCUAGU